This 459-nucleotide ribosomal RNA is filed under the name uncultured bacterium. RNAcentral describes it as "partial 16S ribosomal RNA". It matches the Rfam family "Bacterial small subunit ribosomal RNA", at positions 338 to 795 of the family's 1533-position model. The record is from RNAcentral.
CCUACGGGGGGCAGCAGUGAGGAAUAUUGGUCAAUGGCCGGAAGGCUGAACCAGCCAAGCCGCGUGAAGGACGAAGGUGCCAAGGAUUGUAAACUUCUUUUGUCAGGGGACAAAAUGAGGCACGAGAGCCGGACCGAGGGUACUGGAAGAAAAAGCAUCGGCUAACUCCGUGCCAGCAGCCGCGGUAAUACGGAGGAUGCGAGCGUUAUCCGGAUUUAUUGGGUUAAAAGGGAGCGUAGGCGGACUGUUAAGGUAGCGGGAAAAGCCCGGGGCUCAACCCCGGCGAGCCGUUGAAACUGGCUGUCUUGAGAGGGCGAGAGGUAUGCGGAAUGCGUAGUGUAGCGGUGAAAUGCUUAGAUAUUGCGCAGAACUCCGAUUGCGAAGGCAGCAUACCGGCGGGGAUCUGACGCUGAGGCACGAAAGCGUGGGUAUCGAACAGGAUUAGAUACCCUGGUAGUC